This 167-nucleotide small RNA is filed under the name Paenibacillus sp. CECT 9249. RNAcentral's name for it is "ykoK". It matches the Rfam family "M-box riboswitch aptamer (ykoK leader)". From Rfam's summary of the family: M-box riboswitch, also know as ykoK leader is described as a metaloregulatory RNA that sense divalent metals and function as a genetic control element of genes related to divalent metal transport in bacteria. It was first reported upstream of the B.subtilis ykoK gene and genes with related functions in other bacteria. The record is from RNAcentral. Lineage: Bacteria; Bacillati; Bacillota; Bacilli; Caryophanales; Paenibacillaceae.
GAUACGAAUCGUUAGGUGAGGCUCCUGUGGUGGAGAUAUGCUACUGCCCAGAAAUGUCCAAAGACGCCAAUGGGUUAACAAAAAUCAUCGAAUUAAGGUGUUUUUUAAUGUAGCUGGAACGAAUUCCUAUGCCCCACAGUGCUAAAGCUCUACGAAUGAGGGAUGUU